UGGUGCUAUAAUGCAGUAGAACGCUGAAGAGAGGAGCUUGCUCUUCUUGGAUGAGUUGCGAACGGGUGAGUAACGCGUAGGUAACCUGCCUUGUAGCGGGGGAUAACUAUUGGAAACGAUAGCUAAUACCGCAUAACAAUGGAUGACACAUGUCAUUUAUUUGAAAGGGGCAAUUGCUCCACUACAAGAUGGACCUGCGUUGUAUUAGCUAGUAGGUGAGGUAAUGGCUCACCUAGGCGACGAUACAUAGCCGACCUGAGAGGGUGAUCGGCCACACUGGGACUGAGACACGGCCCAGACUCCUACGGGAGGCAGCAGUAGGGAAUCUUCGGCAAUGGGGGCAACCCUGACCGAGCAACGCCGCGUGAGUGAAGAAGGUUUUCGGAUCGUAAAGCUCUGUUGUAAGUCAAGAACGGGUGUGAGAGUGGAAAGUUCACACUGUGACGGUAGCUUACCAGAAAGGGACGGCUAACUACGUGCCAGCAGCCGCGGUAAUACGUAGGUCCCGAGCGUUGUCCGGAUUUAUUGGGCGUAAAGCGAGCGCAGGCGGUUUGAUAAGUCUGAAGUUAAAGGCUGUGGCUCAACCAUAGUUCGCUUUGGAAACUGUCAAACUUGAGUGCAGAAGGGGAGAGUGGAAUUCCAUGUGUAGCGGUGAAAUGCGUAGAUAUAUGGAGGAACACCGGUGGCGAAAGCGGCUCUCUGGUCUGUAACUGACGCUGAGGCUCGAAAGCGUGGGGAGCGAACAGGAUUAGAUACCCUGGUAGUCCACGCCGUAAACGAUGAGUGCUAGGUGUUGGAUCCUUUCCGGGAUUCAGUGCCGCAGCUAACGCAUUAAGCACUCCGCCUGGGGAGUACGACCGCAAGGUUGAAACUCAAAGGAAUUGACGGGGGCCCGCACAAGCGGUGGAGCAUGUGGUUUAAUUCGAAGCAACGCGAAGAACCUUACCAGGUCUUGACAUCCCGAUGCUAUUUCUAGAGAUAGAAAGUUACUUCGGUACAUCGGUGACAGGUGGUGCAUGGUUGUCGUCAGCUCGUGUCGUGAGAUGUUGGGUUAAGUCCCGCAACGAGCGCAACCCCUAUUGUUAGUUGCCAUCAUUCAGUUGGGCACUCUAGCGAGACUGCCGGUAAUAAACCGGAGGAAGGUGGGGAUGACGUCAAAUCAUCAUGCCCCUUAUGACCUGGGCUACACACGUGCUACAAUGGUUGGUACAACGAGUUGCGAGUCGGUGACGGCGAGCUAAUCUCUUAAAGCCAAUCUCAGUUCGGAUUGUAGGCUGCAACUCGCCUACAUGAAGUCGGAAUCGCUAGUAAUCGCGGAUCAGCACGCCGCGGUGAAUACGUUCCCGGGCCUUGUACACACCGCCCGUCACACCACGAGAGUUUGUAACACCCGAAGUCGGUGAGGUAACCUUUUGAGCCAGCCGCCUAAGGUGUCA
RNAcentral lists this ribosomal RNA (1436 nucleotides) under bacterium. Its description in RNAcentral is "bacterial SSU rRNA". It matches the Rfam family "Bacterial small subunit ribosomal RNA". The record is from RNAcentral.